Molecule: ribozyme, 80 nt
Filed under: Crocodylus porosus (Australian saltwater crocodile)
Lineage: Eukaryota; Metazoa; Chordata; Crocodylia; Crocodylidae
Description: Mammalian CPEB3 ribozyme (ENSCPRG00005014435.1)
Rfam family: Mammalian CPEB3 ribozyme
About the family: The mammalian CPEB3 ribozyme is a self cleaving RNA located in the second intron of the CPEB3 gene which belongs to a family of genes regulating messenger RNA polyadenylation.
Source: Rfam by way of RNAcentral
AGAGGUCACAAGUUCAAGGCCAUAGCAGAAACACUCAUGGUGUGGCCCUGUCAGAUGCUGACAAAUCUGCAAAUUAUGCU